RNAcentral lists this ribosomal RNA (427 nucleotides) under uncultured bacterium. RNAcentral's name for it is "partial 16S ribosomal RNA". It matches the Rfam family "Bacterial small subunit ribosomal RNA", at positions 355 to 774 of the family's 1533-position model. The record is from RNAcentral.
UGGGGAAUAUUGCACAAUGGGCGCAAGCCUGAUGCAGCCAUGCCGCGUGUAUGAAGAAGGCCUUCGGGUUGUAAAGUACUUUCAGCGGGGAGGAAGGCGAUAAGGUUAAUAACCUUGUCGAUUGACGUUACCCGCAGAAGAAGCACCGGCUAACUCCGUGCCAGCAGCCGCGGUAAUACGGAGGGUGCAAGCGUUAAUCGGAAUUACUGGGCGUAAAGCGCACGCAGGCGGUAUGUCAAGUCGGAUGUGAAAUCCCCGGGCUCAACCUGGGAACUGCAUUCGAAACUGGCAGGCUAGAGUCUUGUAGAGGGGGGUAGAAUUCCAGGUGUAGCGGUGAAAUGCGUAGAGAUCUGGAGGAAUACCGGUGGCGAAGGCGGCCCCCUGGACAAAGACUGACGCUCAGGUGCGAAAGCGUGGGGAGCAAACA